AGAGUUUGAUCAUGGCUCAGAACGAACGCUGGCGGCAUGCCUAACACAUGCAAGUCGAACGAGACCUUCGGGUCUAGUGGCGCACGGGUGCGUAACGCGUGGGAAUCUGCCCUUUGCUUCGGAAUAACAGUUAGAAAUGACUGCUAAUACCGGAUGAUGUCUUCGGACCAAAGAUUUAUCGGCAAAGGAUGAGCCCGCGUAGGAUUAGGUAGUUGGUGGGGUAAAGGCCUACCAAGCCGACGAUCCUUAGCUGGUCUGAGAGGAUGAUCAGCCACACUGGGACUGAGACACGGCCCAGACUCCUACGUGAGGCAGCAGUGGGGAAUAUUGGACAAUGGGCGCAAGCCUGAUCCAGCAAUGCCGCGUGAGUGAUGAAGGCCUUCGGGUCGUAAAGCUCUUUUACCAGGGAUGAUAAUGACAGUACCUGGAGAAUAAGCUCCGGCUAACUCCGUG
This 453-nucleotide ribosomal RNA is filed under the name uncultured bacterium. RNAcentral describes it as "bacterial SSU rRNA". It matches the Rfam family "Bacterial small subunit ribosomal RNA", at positions 8 to 507 of the family's 1533-position model. The record is from RNAcentral.